GAGACACUUCGUGCAAUUCUGGAGGCUGAGAAGUCCCACGAUCUGCUGUCCGCAAGCCGGACACCCAGGAAUGCUGGCAGUGCAAGUUCCAAGACCUGAGGGCCGGGAUCCAAUGGAGUGGACGCCAGUCAGAGUCUGAAUCCCUGAGAACCAGGAGUACCAACGGCCAGAGGGAACGGAUGUCUGCCUUGGGUCAGGCAGAGAGAAUCCAAACGCCCUCCACCUUUUUGUCCUGUUCCGGCUUCCACAGAUUGGACGAGGCCCACCCACCUUGGGGAGGGGCCAGCUGCUGUGUUCAGUCCGCCAUUGCAAACACGAAGCUCUUCCAGAAACGCCCUCACAGACACCCCGGAAGUCACGUACCCACUCUGUAGGUGCCCCGGGGCACAGGCAAGCGGACGAGCCAGUUAUCCCUCAGAGCUCCUGCUGCCUCGCCCGCUUUCUCUCGGAAACGUGAAGUGUGGCCUCAGCUGAAAGUGAGGUGGGCCUCAUUCAAUCAGUUGAAUUCUUCAAGAGAGAAAAACUGAAGUCCCUUAGAAGGAAAGAGUUCUGCCUUCAGACUGUCUUUGAACUUAAGACUGUAGCGUCGACUCCUGCCGGAAUUUCCAGCCUGCUGGCCAGCUCUGCAGAUUCACACUUGCCAGCCUCCACAAUCGCAGCUGAGGCGGAGGAACCCUAAGGGCUCAUUGAGAUCAUGGAUUUGCCCUUCUAUGCAUUGAUGGAGCACCUGCUGCCCACAGCGUCUGUAUUUGGUGCUGGGAUGCUGAGCCUCCUUCUUUAUGAAUUUUUAAAAGGACACUGAGAUCUUCAAACAGAGGCUGCCACUCUAAGCAAACAGAUCCCGAGCCCUGGACUCUGAAGCUUGGGCCCAGUUCUCCUUUUCUCCGGGUUUCAGAUCCCACUGUGAAGUGAGGGGGCCCUUCUGAUUCAGGACCCGGGGAAGCCAGGGGCAUGAGCAUCGGUGCCUCUUCUCUAUUUCAAGGACCCUUCUGGGUGUAAAGUUCUCUGAGAUGCCUUACAUGGAUUCCCACCACUGCAAGAUAACCAUCGUAAAUGACUGAUGGGGAGAAAGAUGCAGAGCACAGACUAAUUCGCAGCUAAUUCUUCUAAACAGUCAUGACUGGCUAGACAAAAUGUGGCAGAUGCUUUUCAUUUUAUUUCCAAAUUUGCAAUGAAAGCCGAGAGUCGCGGUGGAUAGGCUCUUUCUUCUGGCCCCUGACCUGUGCGAUGACUCAACAUGGCACAGGAUGAUGGAGUUAGAAAACCCCACGGGGACAGAAGACGCUGUAGACAGUCAGCUGGCGGGAAGGACUCGGACAACCCAAUCGCACACCAAGAUGCCCUUGAGCGCUGCUGUCUCCCUCACAGUGGGGGCGCCACCCAGAACACCAGGCACUUUGCUGUGGCUCCAGGGAGACGUGAGCUCUGGACAGAAGGAAAUGUUCUCCUGAGUCCUUUCAAUUCUUGGUGGCUGCUGGACUUGCCUGUUGAGGGGGAUCUUGCUGCGGGUCAUAGCCACUCCUCUCAUGGUGGGGACACAGUAAGAAAACAAGACAGGUCAGGUAGAGUAUUCACAUACACACACACACGCAUGCACACACACAAUUUUAGCUGGCUAUAACUACUUUAAAGAAAAUCUGUAGGUUGCCAAUAGAAUGACAGGUGACAGUUAAGGAGGGAUGGCCACUGUUCAGGGAAAGUCUCUCUGGAAAGAUGACCUUCGAGCUGAGGACCAGAAAGGCCUGUGGCAGUGAGGCUUUUUUGUUGUUGUUGUUGUUUUUUGGUUUUUUUGAGACAGAGUCUCACUCUGUCGCCCAGGCUGGAGUUCAGUGGCAUGAUCUUGGCUCACUCCAACCUCUGCCUCCUGGGUUCAAGCGAUUCUUCUGCCUCAGCCUCCCAAGUAGCUGGGAAUACAGAUGCGUGCCACCAUGCCUGGCUAAUUUUUGUAUUUUUAGUAGAGAUGGGGUUUCACCAUAUUGGCCAGGCUGGUCUCGAACUCCUGACCUCAUGAUCCACCCACCUUGGCCCCCCAGAGUGCUGGGAUUACAGGUGUGAACCACUGCACCCAGCCGUCAGCAAGUUUUGUGUGUCGACUUGGUUAGGAUGUGGUGCCCAGUUAUUUGAUCAAGCAAUAAUCUGGAUGUCAAUGUGGGGGUACUUUGUAGAUGUGGGUAACAUCCACCAUCAGCUGAUGGUACAUAAAGGAGAUACCCUGAAUAGUGUGAAUGGGCCUCAUCCCAUCAAUUGAAGAUCUUAAGAGCGUAACUGAAGCUUCCCUGGAAAAGAAGAAAUUCUGCCUGAAGACCACAGCAUCACUGCUGCCCCCGAGCCCUACGGAGCUCAGACUUGCCUACCCCCAGAGUCCCGUGGACCAAUUUCUUGCAAUCUCUUUUAUUGAUUCAAAUUUCUACUUCUAUUAAAUUUAUUUUUAUUUAUUUUAUUUUUAUUUUGUUGUACAAUACACACAAUAUUCUACUGGUUCUGUUUCUCUGGAGAACCAUGUCGGAUGCUAAUACAGGGUUCAUAGUCAUGCAUCUUCUCUAUCCAUUUGCUCUGGACACAUUAGUGGGCCUCAUCCACACAUGGUUUCAGCUAUUCACAUAUGGCUGCAACUUCUGAAUUUCUGUCUACAGCCUGGGACUCUCUCCUUGCACCACAGUCAUAAACUCAGGAACCUGCUGGACAUGACUACUCAAAGGCUCCCGCGUAUCUCAAACCUAAGAUGUCUGUUGUGAAAUGAGAAAAUUUACCCUCACCCUAAGCUUUUUUAUUAUUUUUUAAAAAUUCUUAACUAAUUUUUAAUUGUAAUGUAACAUAAACAGGAACAUGCAUAAAUCAGAAGCGUGUUGUGUGCAGAGCUCAGUCAAUUUUCACAAAAUGAACACACCCCUGAAGUCACCAUCCUGAUCGAGAUGACCACAUCCUCAGGGUUCCAAAUAUCCCCAUGCUCAUUCCCAGUCAUGACCGCCUUCUUUGCAAAGUGUAACACCUUCUUCUGACUACUGGCCCCUAUGUUACUUUUGCUUGUUUCAAAUUUUAUACAAAUUGAACCAUAUAGCAUGAAUUAUUUUAUGUCUGUUUCUUUUACUCAAUAUUGUAUUUGUGGGAUUUAUUCAUGUGGUGUUGUAUAUUAAUCAUUUAUGCAUCCAUAUUUUAUCAUUGCAGAGUACCACACUGUGUAAUUCUACCACAAUUUGUUCAAACAAUUCCACUGUUGGUGGGCGCCGGGGCUGCCUCCAGCUUGGGGCCAGUGUGUAUAAUGCUGUGUGAUUAUUCUAUACAUGUGUUUGGUACAUAUUUCCAUGUGGCAUUGUUGUGUAUAAACCUGAUUAAAA
Homo sapiens (human) is the source of this 3335-nucleotide long non-coding RNA. Ensembl annotates it as epigenetically induced MYC interacting lncRNA 1. Its record names the gene EPIC1. The record is from Ensembl. NCBI's taxonomy places the organism in Eukaryota, Metazoa, Chordata, Mammalia, Primates, Hominidae.